Molecule: unclassified non-coding RNA, 291 nt
Filed under: Hevea brasiliensis (rubber tree)
Lineage: Eukaryota; Viridiplantae; Streptophyta; Magnoliopsida; Malpighiales; Euphorbiaceae
Source: RNAcentral
UGGUUUCAUCAAGUGCUGCAGGAAGCCUAUGUUCUUCGUUAAAUGCAGGAACUAUCAAAGAUAUAUACUUCUCUGCCGGGUCAUGGAUGUGGGGGCACGGAACCUUUUUCAACGAAUUCGGAUCCUCGAAGAUAGCAGGAGCAUCAACGUACUUAUUAUGGUGUCUUUGCUUGUAGGCUUCAACGAUGAUUGGACAGAGUAACAGCAAAGCUACCAACAGAGCUAGGGCUGCAAGAAGCGCUGCUAGAGUCCAUACAAACUCCAUUUGUUUCUGCUCUUGAUUCUAAUUAC